RNAcentral lists this ribosomal RNA (707 nucleotides) under Pseudomonas sp. RNAcentral's name for it is "bacterial SSU rRNA". It matches the Rfam family "Bacterial small subunit ribosomal RNA", at positions 38 to 740 of the family's 1533-position model. Lineage: Bacteria; Pseudomonadati; Pseudomonadota; Gammaproteobacteria; Pseudomonadales; Pseudomonadaceae. The record is from RNAcentral.
GGCGGCAGGCCUAACACAUGCAAGUCGAGCGGUAGAGAGAAGCUUGCUUCUCUUGAGAGCGGCGGACGGGUGAGUAAUGCCUAGGAAUCUGCCUGGUAGUGGGGGAUAACGUUCGGAAACGGACGCUAAUACCGCAUACGUCCUACGGGAGAAAGCAGGGGACCUUCGGGCCUUGCGCUAUCAGAUGAGCCUAGGUCGGAUUAGCUAGUUGGUGAGGUAAUGGCUCACCAAGGCGACGAUCCGUAACUGGUCUGAGAGGAUGAUCAGUCACACUGGAACUGAGACACGGUCCAGACUCCUACGGGAGGCAGCAGUGGGGAAUAUUGGACAAUGGGCGAAAGCCUGAUCCAGCCAUGCCGCGUGUGUGAAGAAGGUCUUCGGAUUGUAAAGCACUUUAAGUUGGGAGGAAGGGCAGUUACUUAAUACGUGAUUGUUUUGACGUUACCGACAGAAUAAGCACCGGCUAACUCUGUGCCAGCAGCCGCGGUAAUACAGAGGGUGCAAGCGUUAAUCGGAAUUACUGGGCGUAAAGCGCGCGUAGGUGGUUUGUUAAGUUGGAUGUGAAAUCCCCGGGCUCAACCUGGGAACUGCAUUCAAAACUGACUGACUAGAGUGUGGUAGAGGGUGGUGGAAUUUCCUGUGUAGCGGUGAAAUGCGUAGAUAUAGGAAGGAACACCAGUGGCGAAGGCGACCACCUGGACCAACAC